This 411-nucleotide ribosomal RNA is filed under the name uncultured bacterium. Its description in RNAcentral is "bacterial SSU rRNA". It matches the Rfam family "Bacterial small subunit ribosomal RNA", at positions 354 to 777 of the family's 1533-position model. The record is from RNAcentral.
GUGGGGAAUAUUGCACAAUGGGCGAAAGCCUGAUGCAGCGACGCCGCGUGAGGGAUGACGGCCUUCGGGUUGUAAACCUCUUUCAGUAGGGAAGAAGCGAAAGUGACGGUACCUGCAGAAGAAGCACCGGCUAACUACGUGCCAGCAGCCGCGGUAAUACGUAGGGUGCGAGCGUUAUCCGGAAUUAUUGGGCGUAAAGAGCUCGUAGGCGGUUUGUCGCGUCUGUCGUGAAAGUCCGGGGCUUAACCCCGGAUCUGCGGUGGGUACGGGCAGACUAGAGUGCAGUAGGGGAGACUGGAAUUCCUGGUGUAGCGGUGGAAUGCGCAGAUAUCAGGAGGAACACCGAUGGCGAAGGCAGGUCUCUGGGCUGUAACUGACGCUGAGGAGCGAAAGCAUGGGGAGCGAACAGGA